GACCCCACUCUGUUCCUGGGGAUUCGCCCUUCGCACCAGAGCACUGCCAGGUUCCCAGGGUGCUUGUGCUCAACUGAUACUGUACCUGAUCUCAGGCUGCCAGCGUCCCUCACCACGUCUGGAUCCACGUUCCUGCACCAGCUCCUUCCGGCUCAGUGUGGGCUGGUGAUGGGGAAGAUGGGCCUGCUUCUCCAUCUCCUGGAACCAUCCGUUCCAACCAUCCGUCGGGAGAACACUGUUCAAACCAUAGCACCUUCAAGCCACUGGAAUGUACUUCACUAAACCGUCUGAGCAGCUGUUGUGCUCCAGGCACUUUAUGAGGCUCCAGACAGGAGUAAGACAAGGUCCUUGCCCUUAAAAAGUGACGCAACCCAAUACGGAGAUUGGAAAUAUGCAAAUGUAUAGGACGCAGAGAUCAAGCAAGAUUCAUUGAAGGAGCACUGGGUCAGAACCCUGCAGUGAAUCAGAGGAAAUCUCCUAUUCUUUCUGGAAAGAGGCACUCUUUUUAAGAAGGAGGCAGGAUCUGCAAUGGCCUAGGGUGGGGGGCGGGGGGGCUGGGUUGAAGUUUGCAGAAGGGUGAUUGCAUGCCAGCGACGUGGUCAGCCAGAGCAGAGGCACCGGUGACAGGAAGGCAAAGGAAACAUUUCAGGGAAAAUAGGCAGUCCAGUUUCACUGGGAUACAUAAUUUGCAAAAAUGGGAAUCAAAUCUGAUAACCCUUGGAAAAUAAGCUCAGGUCCCCUGGGGGAUUCCUCCAGAUUUUCCUGUGUUUGAAUUAAAGGUGAGUCCAGUAACACUUUCUAAGCUAUCAGUUUGGUAACAAUGACCACAAUAACCAGAAUUAAAAAAAUAAUAAUCAAGCUCCUAAUUGUUUUGAGAAAAAUAUUUAAUUUGAUUUUGCUUCUACAAACUUCCAGGAGGCAUCUCACAACACUUUACAACACUCCCAUCGCGUUUCUGGAUUUUUUAUUUCUUUCUUCGGCAGCACUUUCGGCCGCUGAGAGAGCAUCGGCCGAUUUGCUCCUCCUUUGGAAGGCAGGUUAGCAGAGCGCACCGGCCGCUUCUCAAACUGCAAAACUGCUUCUGCAGGAGGCUUAUAAUUCCUCCAUUUCCUGUAGUGAAAAAACAGGACACAUGGAAGGCUUGGUCCCAGCACAAGGCUUUUGGAAUUCCCCAAAUAACUGGUCUGCUACCUUUCUUGUAUUCCCCCCCCCCAAGCCCCAACCCUCCCCGCCCCCCGCCCCCCCAGCCUCUCCUGCCCUCAAUAUACACUUCUAUUUAGGGUCUGGUAGUUGGAAAGUGAAUUCAGUUAUAAUCCUAGUUGUAUACCUCAUGGGGUGAACAUACACAUUUCUUCCGAUUAAGAAAUGAGAAAACACAUGGUAUAAAGAUACUGGUUAGGAUUUGGUAGAUGCCAAUUUGUAAUUUCCUUUUUAAAUAAAAUAUUAUUCCAAUCACUAUUAAUCA
Long non-coding RNA from Felis catus (domestic cat), 1465 nucleotides. RefSeq lists it as uncharacterized. The transcript has 3 exons. NCBI's taxonomy places the organism in Eukaryota, Metazoa, Chordata, Mammalia, Carnivora, Felidae. The record is from RefSeq and is a predicted model, not a curated record.